CCUUUGAUCUCUCAUGAAUUUCUUCCUUUGUAGACUGUAUGUGCCUCUUAUAUGAAUUAUAUACAAAAAAAAAAAAAAAACUACCCAUCAUGGACAAAGGACCUGAGUUUAGAAUGAAAGCGAAGACGACAGAAAGGAAAGAAGAACCUAGCCCAUAAUCAGUAGAGCUCUAUUUUUGUCUAGCUCCUUUACCAAAGGAGUCACAGGAGGUUAAAAUGCUAGCAUGGUGAUGACCCAGCCUCAAUCCUGAUUGACUACAACACCCUUGAGAAGACACAAUAAUGAAACAGAAGGAACCUUAAUUUCUACUCUAGACAGGAAAGAAGAAAGAGAACACACCUUCAUCGCUCCUAUUUUUUCUUCAACCACAGUAGCUAAUAUAUUCACUGAUACAUCAAAAGAAAAACUCCAACCAUCCUGUUUUCUUUCACUCAAGCAAAAUCAACUUUCCUCAUUUCCCAACAAAUAUUUCAUCAGGAUGCUAUCAUAUUGUGUAUAUUAAAAUAGUUCUCCAUUAGUUUUCUAGUUUCUUCCCCUUUUAUAUUAUAUUUGAGGCUACAUUCUUAUUUGGGAAAUUCUGCCUUCAGUAUAAUGCCUGGAAAAGUGGUG
Molecule: long non-coding RNA, 609 nt
Filed under: Felis catus (domestic cat)
Lineage: Eukaryota; Metazoa; Chordata; Mammalia; Carnivora; Felidae
Description: lncRNA (ENSFCAG00000047608.1)
Source: RNAcentral